This 498-nucleotide ribosomal RNA is filed under the name uncultured bacterium. RNAcentral describes it as "partial 16S ribosomal RNA". It matches the Rfam family "Bacterial small subunit ribosomal RNA", at positions 30 to 523 of the family's 1533-position model. The record is from RNAcentral.
AUUGAACGCUGGCGGCAUGCUUUACACAUGCAAGUCGAACGGUAACAGGCCGCAAGGUGCUGACGAGUGGCGAACGGGUGAGUAAUGCAUCGGAACGUGCCCAGUCGUGGGGGAUAACGCAGCGAAAGCUGUGCUAAUACCGCAUACGAUCUAUGGAUGAAAGCGGGGGACCGUAAGGCCUCGCGCGAUUGGAGCGGCCGAUGUCAGAUUAGGUAUGUGGUGGGGUAAAGGCCUACCAAGCCAACGAUCUGUAGCUGGUCUGAGAGGACGACCAGCCACACUGGGACUGAGACACGGCCCAGACUCCUACGGGAGGCAGCAGUGGGGAAUUUUGGACAAUGGGCGCAAGCCUGAUCCAGCAAUGCCGCGUGCAGGAAGAAGGCCUUCGGGUUGUAAACUGCUUUUGUACGGAACGAAACGGUCUGGGUUAAUACCCUGGGCUAAUGACGGUACCGUAAGAAUAAGCACCGGCUAACUACGUGCCAGCCGCCGCCGUAA